This 230-nucleotide ribosomal RNA is filed under the name uncultured bacterium. RNAcentral's name for it is "partial 16S ribosomal RNA". It matches the Rfam family "Bacterial small subunit ribosomal RNA", at positions 118 to 348 of the family's 1533-position model. The record is from RNAcentral.
UGAGCAAUCUGCCCUUCUCAUCGGAAUAAGCGUUGGAAACGACGUCUAAUGCCGAAUACGACCUCCUUUCGCAUGAUCGGAGGUGGAAAGCUACGGCGGAGAAGGAUGAGCUCGCGGCCUAUCAGCUAGUUGGUGUGGGUAAUGGCCCACCAAGGCGACGACGGGUAGCCGGCCUGAGAGGGUGACCGGCCACACUGGGACUGAGGCACGGCCCAGACUCCUGNGGGAGG